Molecule: transfer RNA, 76 nt
Filed under: Rickettsiales bacterium
Lineage: Bacteria; Pseudomonadati; Pseudomonadota; Alphaproteobacteria; Rickettsiales
Description: tRNA-Val
Rfam family: tRNA
About the family: Transfer RNA (tRNA) molecules are approximately 80 nucleotides in length.
Source: RNAcentral
GGGGCGUUAGCUCAGUUGGGAGAGCAAUUGCCUUACAAGCAAUAGGUCAUAGGUUCGAGCCCUAUACGCCCCACCA